UACAGAGAGUGCAAACGUUGUUCGGAAUUACUGGGCUUGAAGCGCACGUAGGCGGCGUCGUAAGUGUCGGGUGAAAUCCCACGGCUCACCCGUGGAACUGCCCGGCAGACUGCGAUGCUAGAGUGUGGUAGGGGAGAGCGGAACUCCUGGUGGAGCGGUGAAAUGCGUAGAUAUCAGGAGGAACACCGGUGGCGAAGGCGGCUCUCUGGUCCACAACUGACGCUGAGGUGCGAAAGCGUGGGGAGCAAACAGG
RNAcentral lists this ribosomal RNA (253 nucleotides) under uncultured bacterium. RNAcentral describes it as "partial 16S ribosomal RNA". It matches the Rfam family "Bacterial small subunit ribosomal RNA", at positions 524 to 776 of the family's 1533-position model. The record is from RNAcentral.